UACGUAGGGUGCGAGCGUUGUCCGGAAUUACUGGGCGUAAAGAGCUCGUAGGUGGUUUGUCGCGUCUGCUGUGAAAAUCCAGGGCUUAACCCUGGACCUGCAGUGGGUACGGGCAGACUAGAGUGCGGUAGGGGAGAUCGGAAUUCCUGGUGUAGCGGUGAAAUGCGCAGAUAUCAGGAAGAACACCCGUGGCGAAGGCGGCUCUCUGGGACGGUACUGACGCUGAGACGCGAAAGCGUGGGGAGCGAACAGG
RNAcentral lists this ribosomal RNA (253 nucleotides) under uncultured bacterium. Its description in RNAcentral is "partial 16S ribosomal RNA". It matches the Rfam family "Bacterial small subunit ribosomal RNA", at positions 524 to 776 of the family's 1533-position model. The record is from RNAcentral.